GAUGAACGCUGGCGGCAUGCCUAAUACAUGCAAGUCGAGCGACAGCACGAUAAGCUUUUUCCCUUACUGUUAGCGACGGACGGGCGAGUAACGCAUACAUCACAUUCUUCUUAUUCUUGGGUAACUUCGGGAGACCGGAGACACUAACACCUCAUACUUUCUACCGCUUAAUUCAAAAGUGCUUCACGCCUUUGCCGACACUUUUAGCUGGUUCCGCGCUGCAUUAGCUAGUUGGUAAGGUCACGGCCUACCAAGGCGACGAUGCAUAGCCGACCUGAGAGGAUGAUCAGCCACACUGGAACUGAGACACGGUCCAGACUCCUACGGGAGGCAGCAGUGGGGAAUAUUGGGCAAUGGGCGAAAGCCUGACGGAGCAACGCCGCGUGAGUGAAGAAGGUCUUCGGGUCGUAAAGCUCUGUUAUUAGGGAAGAACAGAAGCGGAUUUAACUGCGCACGUCUUGACGGUACCUAAACAGAAAGCCACGGCUAACUACGUG
RNAcentral lists this ribosomal RNA (497 nucleotides) under uncultured bacterium. Its description in RNAcentral is "partial 16S ribosomal RNA". It matches the Rfam family "Bacterial small subunit ribosomal RNA", at positions 28 to 507 of the family's 1533-position model. The record is from RNAcentral.